ACGAACGCUGGCGGCGUGCCUAAUCCAUGCCAGUUGAGCGCUGAAGGUUGGUACUUGUACCCACUGGAUGAGCAGCGAACGGGUGAGUAACGCGUGGGGAAUCUGCCUUUGAGCGGGGGACAACAUUUGGAAACGAAUGCUAAUACCGCAUAAAAACUUUAAACACAAGUUUUAAGUUUGAAAGAUGCCAUUGCAUCACUCAAAGAUGAUCCCGCGUUGUAUUAGCUAGUUGGUGAGGUAAAGGCUCACCAAGGCGAUGAUACAUAGCCGACCUGAGAGGGUGAGCGGCCACACUGGGACUGAGACACGGCCCAAACGCCUACGGGAGGCAGCAGUAGGGAAUCGUCGGCAAUGGACGAAAGUCUGACCGAGAAACGCCGCGUGAGUGAAGAAGGGUUUCGGAUCGUAAAACUCUGUUGGUAGAGAAGAAAGUUGGUGAGAGUGGAAAGCUCAUCAAGUGACGGUAACUACCCAGAAAGGGACGGCUAACUACGUG
Molecule: ribosomal RNA, 496 nt
Filed under: uncultured bacterium
Lineage: Bacteria
Description: partial 16S ribosomal RNA
Rfam family: Bacterial small subunit ribosomal RNA
Source: RNAcentral